RNAcentral lists this ribosomal RNA (852 nucleotides) under Aterigena aliquoi. RNAcentral's name for it is "SSU rRNA". It matches the Rfam family "Eukaryotic small subunit ribosomal RNA", at positions 55 to 906 of the family's 1831-position model. Lineage: Eukaryota; Metazoa; Arthropoda; Arachnida; Araneae; Agelenidae. The record is from RNAcentral.
AUGUCUAAGUACAUGCCGUAUUAAGGCGAAACCGCGAAUGGCUCAUUAAAUCAGUCAUGGUUCCUUGGAUCGUACCUUACUACUUGGAUAACUGUGGCAAUUCUAGAGCUAAUACAUGCAGCAGAGCUCCGACCUUCGGGGACGAGCGCUUUUAUUAGACCAAAACCAAUCGGACCUCGUGUCCGUCUCUUGUGGUGACUCUGUAUAACUUUGGGCUGAUCGCACGGGCCUGUCCCGGCGACGUAUCUUUCAAGUGUCUGCCUUAUCAACUUUCGAUGGUAGGUUACGCGCCUACCAUGGUCGUAACGGGUAACGGGGAAUCAGGGUUCGAUUCCGGAGAGGGAGCCUGAGAAACGGCUACCACAUCCAAGGAAGGCAGCAGGCGCGCAAAUUACCCACUCCCAGAACGGGGAGGUAGUGACGAAAAAUAACAAUACGGGACUCUUUUGAGACCCCGUAAUUGGAAUGAGUACACUCUAAAUCCUUUAACGAGGAUCCAUUGGAGGGUAAGUCUGGUGCCAGCAACCGCGGUAAUUCCAGCUCCAAUAGCGUAUAUUAAAGUUGUUGCGGUUAAAAAGCUCGUAGUUGGAUCUCAGUUCCAGACGGGUGGUCCUCCUACCGGUGGCUACUGCCUGUUCUGAACAGUCAGCCGGUUUCUCUUGAUGAUCUUCACCGGUUGUCUUGGGUGACCGGCAAGUUUACUUUGAAAAAAUUAGAGUGCUCAAAGCAGGCGUGACGCCUGAAUAAUGGUGCAUGGAAUAAUGGAAUAGGACCUCGGUUCUAUUUUGUUGGUUUUCGGAACACGAGGUAAUGAUUAAGAGGGACAGACGGGGGCAUUCGUAUUGCGACGCU